This 1109-nucleotide long non-coding RNA is filed under the name Erythranthe guttata (spotted monkey flower). Its description in RNAcentral is "long non-coding RNA (EGUT_LNC002807)". Lineage: Eukaryota; Viridiplantae; Streptophyta; Magnoliopsida; Lamiales; Phrymaceae. The record is from RNAcentral.
UAAGAACGCAUGGAGAUCUGGUAAUAUUGAAGAUCAUACUACAAACUUAUAAACAAUCUCUUGAUAAGAAUGAUGAGUAUUUUGUUCGUGACAACAAAUAAUAUUGGAUAUAGUCGAUGAUGAAGAUUUAAACCUAAGGUACGUGUUAUUUCAGCGAUAAGCAUCCAUCAUAUUAAUGAAUAUAAGGCCUCGUUAAAUGACAGCAAAUUCUAUUUAUGUUUGAGACCAUUUUGGCAUACCAAAUGGUAAUUUAUUAUUAUGUUACGAUAUGUUAAUCAAGUUGAAAUUGUUUCUCUUAUUGAGUUUUAUAAGAAUAUAACGGCGGUGGGGCUCUCCAAGUUCAAUCCCUUUCAUCAUUUGUAUAUAUAAGUAUAACCACUGGAUUUUGAUGCAUUCUUCAACAAGGUGAGAUCAUAGCAUUUGUAUAUAUUUUUCUCGUCUGUUUUGAAGCUCAGUCUAACUUCUUUUGCACAAAUAGUAGUUAGUUAAAGGAAACGUUAAUUGCUUGGUAUAAAUUAAACCCACUGAUGCUAUUUGAUUUUAAUUCGAGUUUGGUUCUGCUUUAUAUGAUUGAUAUUUUGUUUUAUUUUAACUUAAUCAAUAAUCUAUUACUGUCUUUGAACCGCCUCACUGAAUUUGAAUGAGUUGAAGGUCAAAUUGUUGGUUAGUCAAUAUGUAUCCAUUGAAAUGUCUGACGAGAUGAUAUUAAUAUUGUUUGGUUUAGUGUUCUCAGAAUUGAGCGUUUUAAUUUCUUAUUUCCCUAACUUUCUCUAUAUAACUAAAUUCAGCUCAAAAUGCUUCAAGUACCACAAUUACUUGGGGAGCAGUUUGUUGAUGGAUUACGGAAGGAUGUUUGACCGCGUCAACUUCUAGAUGGUGAUAUUAUUAACAGUUUGAUGGAUAGAGAGUAUUUGAUACUCUGGUCAGACCUGCAGGAAAUAUUUUCUUUGAGUCGAGUUAGUACAUUAUUAAGUUUAUGUACUCCAUUUUAAUUAGGUAAAUCUUAAGGAUUUGGAUUUAAUAUGUAUGAAUGGUGGUGGAUGAUUUAUUGUAAUGAUGGAUUGUACGGGAACCUUUAUUGUAAUUUCAGUCAAUUGUAAUAUAUGGAU